This 254-nucleotide ribosomal RNA is filed under the name uncultured bacterium. RNAcentral describes it as "partial 16S ribosomal RNA". It matches the Rfam family "Bacterial small subunit ribosomal RNA", at positions 524 to 776 of the family's 1533-position model. The record is from RNAcentral.
UACGGGGGGAGCAAGCGUUGUUCGGAUUUACUGGGCGUAAAGGACGCGUAGGCGGCCUCCGCAAGUCAGUUGUGAAAUCUCCGAGCUUAACUCGGAAAGGUCAACUGAUACUGCGGGGCUAGAGUGCGGAAGGGGCAACUGGAAUUCUUGGUGUAGCGGUGAAAUGCGUAGAUAUCAAGAGGAACACCUGCGGCGAAGGCGGGUUGCUGGGCCGACACUGACGCUGAGGCGCGAAAGCUAGGGGAGCGAACGGG